This 331-nucleotide ribosomal RNA is filed under the name uncultured bacterium. RNAcentral's name for it is "bacterial SSU rRNA". It matches the Rfam family "Bacterial small subunit ribosomal RNA", at positions 568 to 898 of the family's 1533-position model. The record is from RNAcentral.
CGCGCAGGCGGCUCUGAAAGUCAGAUGUGAAAGCCCCGGGCUUAACCUGGGAAUUGCAUUUGAUACUCUGGAGCUUGAGUACGGGAGAGGAUAGUGGAAUUCCCAGUGUAGAGGUGAAAUUCGUAGAUAUUGGGAAGAACACCAGUGGCGAAGGCGGCUAUCUGGACCGUAACUGACGCUGAGGCGCGAAAGCGUGGGGAGCAAACAGGAUUAGAUACCCUGGUAGUCCACGCCGUAAACGAUGUGCGCUAGACGUUGGGAAGCUUAGCUUCUCGGUGUCGCAGCUAACGCGAUAAGCGCACCGCCUGGGGAGUACGGCCGCAAGGUUAAA